Oxyura jamaicensis (ruddy duck) is the source of this 1413-nucleotide long non-coding RNA. RefSeq lists it as uncharacterized. Lineage: Eukaryota; Metazoa; Chordata; Aves; Anseriformes; Anatidae. The record is from RefSeq and is a predicted model, not a curated record. The transcript is spliced from 2 exons.
CCCACCCUAGACAGCUCCAAGGCUUGCUGACCUCUCUGUGCCUGUGCUAGCAGGGCUGUCCGUGCAGCCGUGAGAAAACCAAUGCUCAAGGCUGACAUUGCCGCCUCCUCGGAGCACGUGCAGUUUUUAGCACUGUGUUACUCCCAUCCCCGCCCGAGAUCUGGUGCCAUCUGUAACAGUGCUGGUAGGGAAACUGGAAGAAAGUUUGUGCGAAACCCUCUGAGAUACAACAUUACGAAGCGUUCAUUUCCCAGAUCAUUAGAAUAGCCAUCUGGCCAAAACCAGAGAUGCACAUGCCUGCAUCUCCAGCCUACCAGCAUUCAGCCGCGAGGGUGCCUGCUCCGUAGCAUUUGGGACUGGGAGCUGCAGAUGUUGCUUUGCCACUGCUCUUGGAGAAUUCUCUUUGCACGUUGGUCUUUUUACGGUUUAUCUGCAAUUCAAAACCGAGCUGACUUUUAGGAGGCGUCUGUCUGACAAUAGACAUUUUAGCCAGGAACAUAGUAUGUUUCCUAUGCCUCCAAAUAGCCUACAGUGCUGUGAAACCACAAGAUCCUAUCUCUUCCAUGCGUUGUUCCCAUGAAUAUUUUCACUGUUAAUAAAGUACGUUUCGGUCUCCAUUUGUCUGGCCUCAGCAUCGGUCAGGAGGAUAUCACCGGGUCUUAAAUCCCAGCAUCUGGGGGUCCACAGGGUCUUCAAUUUUCAAUAUUUGUCCUAAAGCCUGAUGAGAACAGCCUUUCACAUGCUACUUGGGUAAGUUAAUGCCAGUAGGAGCUGGAAGGUGUGAAAAUAAGGGCUUUAUGCUGCUGGCUUAGUUAUAUUUGCCUUUCUCACCUAUGGCUUCCUUGCAGUAGAUCUAUGCAUCUGCUACAGACACAGCAUUCUCGUUCUAUUACUCCUUUCUCUUGGCUGGUGAUGUACGGCAGAAAAUGGGACCUGCGGGGCUCGUUCACUCCUGCUCGUGGUCUGAGUUCCCCUGUCUGUACCAUAAGGAUAGUAAGAUUUAUACACCUCAAAGCUCGUGCGCUUCGUAGAUCCGUGCUCCAGUAUUUUUAGCUCUAAGCCGUGCGUGGUCCACAACUGUAAACAAGCGGAGAGAUACAUACAGUAGAUAAUUUACACUUUCUAGGAGAGGCCUGAAUGUAAUAUGACAGCAAUGACUUCCUUCUUCUAAUAGAAUUUUUAGUUCAUUACGGUGACUGUGCAGCGCGAGCUCAUAUCCUGAAGGGGUGCCGCUGGAAGGAGGAGCAGGGGGAAAGCAUCUGUUUUUAUUCUGGCUUCUGUUCUGACCAGCAAAUAUAAUGGCACAUGACCGUUGAGCCGACGGUAAUCCAGUUAGAAAAGUCUUCAGAGUUACUGCACCGACCAAAUUAAACUUGAUUACAUCCAAUUAUGCUGAAAAGCCAGACAACAGCU